Molecule: long non-coding RNA, 728 nt
Filed under: Setaria viridis
Lineage: Eukaryota; Viridiplantae; Streptophyta; Magnoliopsida; Poales; Poaceae
Description: long non-coding RNA (SVIR_LNC002229)
Source: RNAcentral
GGGAGUACUAUAUGCAGCGGGGCUAGAUGUGAAUAAUUUGUAUAUAGCUUUUACUAUGCUAUACUAUCUUGGGAACCAAAGGUGGUCAGUCAAAAGCUCAAGUUAGUAGUAGGGGGUGUUUGGAUACGAGGUACUAAACUUUAGGAGGGGUCACAUCGGAUGUUCGGACGCUAAUUAGGAGGACUAAACAUGAACUAAUUAUAAAACUAACUGCAGAACCCCUAUACUAAUUCGCGAGACGAAUCUAUUAAGCCUAAUUAAUCCAUCAUUAGCAAAUGGUUACUGUAGCAUCACAUUGUCAAAUCAUGGACUAAUUAGGCUUAAUAGAUUCGUCUCGCAAAUUAGACUCCAUCUGUGUAAUUAGUUUUGUAAUUAGAUUAUAUUUAAUACUUCUAAUCAGUAUCUAAACAUCCGAUGUGACAUGCCAUAAACUUUAUGACUUCGCAUCCAAACAGCCCCGUAGUAGUAGUUUGUAGUCUUUGAAUGUGGGAACUUUGGAGAAACUUUAAAGGAAAUGCUUUAUAUGUUCGGAUUUUAGGAUCUAGGAGUCCAUGUAGAAAGCACAUGAUUUUUUCCAAACUGCUUGAAGGCAUUGGUUCUUUCGGAGUGAAAUGCACAAGUAGUUCUUAAACUUGUAAUAGAGUGUCAUUCAAGUCCAUCAACUUUAACAAUACAUAUUUGAAUCCUUAAACUUUAAAUGUCUCAUCAAGUCCAAAGUAACCAAAAAU